GAGUUUGAUCAUGGCUCAGAACGUACGCUGGCGGCACGCCUAACACAUGCAAGUCGAACGAAGUAGCAAUACUUAGUGGCAGACGGGUGAGUAACAUGUAGGUAUCUGCCCUUUGGCCUGGAAUAACACGAGGAAACUUGUGCUAAUACCGGAUAAGUCUUUACGGAGAAAGCUUUAUGCACCAUUGGAUGAGCCUGCACUUGAUUAGUUUGUUGGUGGGGUAAUGGCCUACCAAGACUGUGAUCAAUAGCUGAUUUGAGAGGAUGAUCAGCCACAUUGGGACUGAGACACGGCCCAAACUCCUACGGGAGGCAGCAGUGGGGAAUCUUGCACAAUGGAGGAAACUCUGAUGCAGCGAUGCCGCGUGAGUGAAGAAGGCCCUUGGGUUGUAAAGCUCUUUCGUCGGGGAAGAAAAUGACUGUACCCGAAUAAGAAGGUCCGGCUAACUUCGUGCCAGCAGCCGCGGUAAUACGAAGGGACCUAGCGUAGUUCGGAAUUACUGGGCUUAAAGAGUUCGUAGGUGGUUGAAAAAGUUAGUGGUGAAAUCCCAGAGCUUAACUCUGGAACUGCCAUUAAAACUUUUCAGCUAGAGUAUGAUAGAGGAAAGCAGAAUUUCUAGUGUAGAGGUGAAAUUCGUAGAUAUUAGAAAGAAUACCAAUUGCGAAGGCAGCUUUCUGGAUCAUUACUGACACUGAGGAACGAAAGCAUGGGUAGCGAAGAGGAUUAGAUACCCUCGUAGUCCAUGCCGUAAACGAUGUGUGUUAGACGUUGGAAAUUUAUUUUCAGUAUCGCAGGGAAACCGAUAAACACACCGCCUGGGGAGUACGACCGCAAGGUUAAAACUCAAAUGAAUUGACGGGGACCCGCACAAGUAGUGGAGCAUGUGGUUUAAUUCGAAGAUACGCGCAGAACCUUACCAACACUUGACAUGUUCGUCGCGACUCUAAGAGAUUAGAGUUUUCGGUUCGGCCGGACGAAACACAGGUGCUGCAUGGCUGUCGUCAGCUCGUGUCGUGAGAUGUUGGGUUAAGUCCCGCAACGAGCGCAACCCUCACUUUUAGUUGCCAUCAUUAAGUUGGGCACUCUGAAAGAACUGCCAGUGAUAAGCUGGAGGAAGGUGGGGAUGACGUUAAGUCCUCAUGGCCCUUACGUGUUGGGCUACACACGUGCUACAAUGGUAUCUACAACAGGAAGCAAAACUGCGAAGUUAAGCAAAUCCCUAAAAGAUACCUCAGUUCGGAUUGCACUCUGCAACUCGAGUGCAUGAAGCUGGAAUUACUAGUAAUCGUGGAUCAGCGUGCCACGGUGAAUGCGUUCCCGGGUCUUGUACACACCGCCCGUCACACCAUGGGAGUUGGUUCUACCUUAAGGCAAGGUUUCAAACCCUUGACCACGGUGUAGUCAGCGACUGGGGUGAAGUCGUAACAAGGUAACC
This 1435-nucleotide ribosomal RNA is filed under the name uncultured marine bacterium. Its description in RNAcentral is "bacterial SSU rRNA". It matches the Rfam family "Bacterial small subunit ribosomal RNA". The record is from RNAcentral.